Molecule: long non-coding RNA, 1162 nt
Filed under: Ictidomys tridecemlineatus (thirteen-lined ground squirrel)
Lineage: Eukaryota; Metazoa; Chordata; Mammalia; Rodentia; Sciuridae
Description: lncRNA (ENSSTOG00000030185.1)
Source: RNAcentral
GAUCCAAACACCUUGUCUGCAUUUCAUGGAGCUCCAAUUUCUGCCCUCAAAGGGUUAGAUCUGAUGGCACAUUGUCACAACAUAGACUUUCCUGGCUGGGGAUCCAAGUCCUGUGAGUAAUCAGAACUUCAUCUGAGUAUCAUGAGGAGGUGCCUCGGCCGAGGACGUUGUUCAGGACAACAUGGACAUGGGCUUUGCACAAGGCAAACCAUAAGGACUUGAACUGCCCGUGUCAUUCUCGGGCUUCUAUCAGUUGAACCUCUGAUGUAAGGAAAACUAUUGACAUUGCCAGAAUCUAUACUUAUUGUGAACCUGGAUUCCCCAGGUGGAUGAGUUUGGGAUGAAUCAGGAGAGGAGCCAUCCUGAGUGGGGACAGCCAUGAGUUAACGGCGGCACACGCAGAAUCAGUAAAACUUGGUGAUCAUAGGCCAACUCCCUGGUGCCUGAGCAUGGAGGAUGGCACAGGUGGGGCGCGCCUGAGGGGUCUGGCUCUAAUGCUUCCCCAGCUGUCAUGGCAGAGCGAACCACGCAGGAAACUGACAGUCCCUGCCCUGAGGUCCGUUGCUGUCCCCUCCCUGUUGUCUGAGGUGGGCCAGCCACAGAACCUUUCCGCUUUGGAGAGGAGGCCCUCCUGUCUGAAGUUCUGCUACAGCUCCCCUCCAGCCCUGGCUCUCCUUCUUCUCAUCUCGAGGCUGACUUGCCUGGAGAUCUGCCCAGGUGUUUUAGUCUGGCACUUGCCUAACUCCGUUCUGCUCUCUUGGUUUCUGACUCUGGACUCACCCCUGUGCUCUGCUCUUGUGGUUGGACCUCCUGGACACCCUCUGCAAGGCUGCCCUGGGUCCUCUUGCAUCUAGUUUACUACCAUCUCAGGGUGCAGGGUGCUGGUGGUCUGGCCUCCUUAGGUGACUAGGAUAGAUACCUGAGCCCCUCCUGGGGAUGAGGGGAUGGCUUCAGGAGUGAAUCUUCUCGUUGAUUCCUUUUGUCUACUACCCAGUGGUUGGUGUGUCUUUGUCUAGUUCAACCUCUGUCACUGAAUGUCUGGGUGACCACCCAGGAAGUAAAUGAACCAUGUUGACCUCUGUGAUCUCAUAUUUAUAAUAGGUUUCCUGGUUCCCUAGCAAAGAAUAAGCUUAUUAUACCAUACCAAAGGAAAUCCCAAACU